AGGGAAAUAGCUUAGUGGAUGGGUGCGUGCUUAGCAUGCAUGAGGUCCUGGGUUCAAUCCCUAGUGCCUCCA
Molecule: transfer RNA, 72 nt
Filed under: Camelus bactrianus (Bactrian camel)
Lineage: Eukaryota; Metazoa; Chordata; Mammalia; Artiodactyla; Camelidae
Also listed under: 3 other names
Rfam family: tRNA
About the family: Transfer RNA (tRNA) molecules are approximately 80 nucleotides in length. Their secondary structure includes four short double-helical elements and three loops (D, anti-codon, and T loops).
Source: Rfam by way of RNAcentral